GGGGAUAUGGCGGAAUUGGUAGACGCUACAGACUUUAUUUUUUGAUAAAGAGAGAGUCCAGAAAUUUCUGAAAAUCUGUUGGUUCUUUGAACCGUGAGGGUUCAAGUCCCUCUAUCCCCA
This 120-nucleotide transfer RNA is filed under the name Johnson-sea-linkia profunda. Its description in RNAcentral is "tRNA-Leu". It matches the Rfam family "tRNA". From Rfam's summary of the family: Transfer RNA (tRNA) molecules are approximately 80 nucleotides in length. Lineage: Eukaryota; Viridiplantae; Chlorophyta; Ulvophyceae; Bryopsidales; Halimedaceae. The record is from RNAcentral. RNAcentral also lists the same sequence under 1 other name.